This 2143-nucleotide long non-coding RNA is filed under the name Paramuricea clavata. The record is from RNAcentral. Lineage: Eukaryota; Metazoa; Cnidaria; Anthozoa; Malacalcyonacea; Plexauridae.
GGGAUAUGUAUAGUUGUUUUGUUUAUUUUUGCCUUUUGGCACUUUUUCUUCAAAUUUAAAAGUUUGCACCAAAUAUAUGUACAAAAGCUCCAUAAACUGAGAGACAUUUUUUGUUUACUUCGAAAUUCUGGAAUGAUUUGGUCAUUUUUGAUGAAGUUGAACUGUUUUCGUGAAAUGUAGGACUGUGAAUAUCUUUCCCACUGUCUUGGACAAUAAACACAUGUGCAGUACUUUGCUAGCAGUCUCAGUCUCUCAGAUGAUUUGGAUGGCAAUUUCUCUUGGUUACCAUCAUUGAUAGCUAUAGAAUUUUAACUUGCUUUUUGGUUGCAAUACAAUUGCAUCAAUGUCAGCAAAAUCUCGGCAAAUGGAGAGUCAAUUGGGUUCGUUGUUGCGUGAGGAAAACAUAGUUGAAUCCAGGUGAGAUUUUGCUGUAUCUUCAUACAUAUAUCUUGGUUGAACUCAAAUGUUGGGUUUGGUGGAUAAUCCAAGUGAGCAUACAUAUGCACAAUUUAAGUAUGAAUAUAUAUGCUCAUUCGGAUUAUCCACCAACCCAGCAUUCAUGUUCAACCAAGUGAAGUGCAAAUAACAUCUUUCAAGUUCACCUUGACACAACCCGCACACUUGAAAAUCUAUAUAUACAUGAACUUGUGGUCCAGACUGCAAAGUUUCUUUUAUGUGCCGGGAACCCAAAAUUUUGUCGAACGUUUUGUGCGGUGUGCCAGCGUGGUACAAAAGUUUUGCGCGUCGUGCUGGCGUGGUACACACAUCAUAACACACAGGAAAAGCGAUAAUUUAAUGUAAAUUUUGUAAACAAGAAAUAUAAAUACUAAAUAAGCCCGCUUUUUACAAAUUAUGAACAUGUUCCCCGCACAGGCCAAAGUUUGCAGUCUGGCUUGCGGUUACAGCUCAACAACUGGCCGCUAUAGCUCAGUUGGUAAGAGCACUGCACCGGAAUCACAGGACCACAGGUUCAAUUCCUGCCAGAGGAGGUGGUGCCAGUGUGGAAAGUUUGUAUCACGUGGCAGAGAUAUUGGCCGCCAAAUUUUGAUGCUUUCUAUAUACUGUAUUUACUAUAAUUAAAUCUCCGCCACACAAUUUCCACAUUUUCCAGUCAGGACCUGGUGUUGCAUUUUUUGCAACCAUUCCUGGAUACGUCUUAAAUUGUGUAAAUACUGAAUAUGCUCACUUGGAUUAUCCACCAAACCCAGCAUUUGUAUCUUCAUAAGAUUUUGACAAGAUUUUGUCAGAUUCCCAAGAUCCCAGCAAGAUCUUGCCAAGAUCCUGCAAGAUGAUGUGAUUCAGCACGAUUAUGGCAAUUGGGUUAAUAAGAUAUCAUAUAGUAUGAUCAUGUCAAUAACAUGGCAAGAUCUUAUCAAGCUCUUGCAUAAAUCCUGCAAGAUUAUCAUCAACAACAAGUACUGUACAGUACAUAAUCAUUGGCAUAGCAAGUGUAAUAUAUCUGUGACGGCAAUGCAAAUUUCAAGUCAUCAAUUACCAUUAUUCAAUUCUUUUCAAUUUAUCGUCUUUACAGUCUAUGAACACGACAAAAUUUGCAUUGCUGCCCCUGGUAUAUUGCCCUGGCUACGCCAGUGUAUGUCGUACUGUAAGUUGCAAUAAUUUAUGCUACAGUAUUUGAACUCAUAUUCAAUUCAUAGUUCAGUAUUUGAACUACUAUUCAAUUUUUCAGACCUAUUACUCCACCAUGCAGAAAUGUUGUUGGAGGGGUAGGUAUUGAUUGAUAUAUAUAUAUUAUUUAUGUACACAGUAUUCUCAGAUACAAUAAAUUAAUAUACUCAAUUAUUUAAUAUGGGGUAUGUCUCUGCAACAGGUUACUCUGAGUGCUACGUGCAUGGCAUUGCCCUAAUUACUAGGUACAUAUGUAGUUAUGUUACUGAUUUUAAAAUGGUAUUCUAUCAAACCUGAAAGCCUAGCUGUAGCAUAAUAUCAGAUAUACUGAGUAAGUUUUUUUAAAAGUUUAACCCUUUUAAGUGGCAAUGUGCCCUACCUUAUUAUUUUACUGUCUAAUGCCAGACGAUUUUGUUCAUCAUGGGGAGAGUGCAUGUGCUGCCACUCAAUGGGUCAGGGGUGUAUAUAAUUACCAUUUGUGCCCCCCUCUGGGGGGGGUGUCAGGGCCAUGGGGAAG